ACUACGGGAGGCUGCAGUGGGGAAUAUUGCACAAUGGGCGCAAGCCUGAUGCAGCCAUGCCGCGUGUGUGAAGAAGGCCUUCGGGUUGUAAAGCACUUUCAGCGGGGAGGAAGGCGGUGAGGUUAAUAACCUCAUCGAUUGACGUUACCCGCAGAAGAAGCACCGGCUAACUCCGUGCCAGCAGCCGCGGUAAUACGGAGGGUGCAAGCGUUAAUCGGAAUUACUGGGCGUAAAGCGCACGCAGGCGGUCUGUCAAGUCGGAUGUGAAAUCCCCGGGCUCAACCUGGGAACGGCAUUCGAAACUGGCAGGCUAGAGUCUUGUAGAGGGGAGUAGAAUUCCAGGUGUAGCGGUGAAAUGCGUAGAGAUCUGGAGGAAUACCGGUGGCGAAGGCGGCCCCCUGGACAAAAACUGACGCUCAGGUGCGAAAGCGUGGGGAGCAAACAGGAUUAGAUACCCGGGUAGUC
RNAcentral lists this ribosomal RNA (465 nucleotides) under uncultured Klebsiella sp. RNAcentral's name for it is "bacterial SSU rRNA". It matches the Rfam family "Bacterial small subunit ribosomal RNA", at positions 338 to 795 of the family's 1533-position model. The record is from RNAcentral. Lineage: Bacteria; Pseudomonadati; Pseudomonadota; Gammaproteobacteria; Enterobacterales; Enterobacteriaceae.